AACGAACGCUGGCGGCAGGCCUAACACAUGCAAGUCGAACGGAUCCUUCGGGAUUAGUGGCGGACGGGUGAGUAACACGUCGGAACGUGCCCUUUGGUUCGGAACAACUCAGGGAAACUUGAGCUAAUACCGGAUGUGCCCUUCGGGGGAAAGAUUUAUUGCAAUUGGAGCGGCCCGCGUCUGAUUAGCUAGUUGGUGAAGUAACGGCCCACCAAGGCGCCGAUCAGUAGCUGGUUAGAGAGGAUGAUCAGCCACACUGGGACUGAGACACGGCCAAGACUCCUACGGGAGGCAGCAGUGGGGAAUCUUGCGCAAGGGGCGAAAGCCUGACGCAGCCAUGCCGCGUAAAUGAUGAAGGUCUUAGGAUUGUAAAAUUCUUUCAGCGGGGACGAUAAUGACGGUACCCGCAGAAGAAGCUCCGGCUAACUUCGUG
This 433-nucleotide ribosomal RNA is filed under the name uncultured bacterium. RNAcentral describes it as "partial 16S ribosomal RNA". It matches the Rfam family "Bacterial small subunit ribosomal RNA", at positions 29 to 507 of the family's 1533-position model. The record is from RNAcentral.